GACGAGCCUCACGAACGUUAUUCGGAAUUACUGGGCGUAAAGGGCUCGUAGGCGGCCAACUAAGUCAGACGUGAAAUCCCUCGGCUUAACCGGGGAACUGCGUCUGAUACUGGAUGGCUUGAGUUUGGGAGAGGGAUGCGGAAUUCCAGGUGUAGCGGUGAAAUGCGUAGAUAUCUGGAGGAACACCGGUGGCGAAGGCGGCAUCCUGGACCAACACUGACGCUGAGUGAGCGAAAGCCAGGGGAGCAAACGGG
Molecule: ribosomal RNA, 254 nt
Filed under: uncultured bacterium
Lineage: Bacteria
Description: partial 16S ribosomal RNA
Rfam family: Bacterial small subunit ribosomal RNA
Source: RNAcentral